RNAcentral lists this ribosomal RNA (452 nucleotides) under uncultured bacterium. RNAcentral describes it as "bacterial SSU rRNA". It matches the Rfam family "Bacterial small subunit ribosomal RNA", at positions 355 to 802 of the family's 1533-position model. The record is from RNAcentral.
UAAGGAAUAUUGGUCAAUGGACGAAAGUCUGAACCAGCCAUCCCGCGUGCAGGAAGAAGGGGCUCUGCCUUGUAAACUGCUUUUGAAUGGGACGAAAGAGCUAUAUGCGUAUAGUGUUGACGGUACCAUUAGAAUAAGCACCGGCUAACUCCGUGCCAGCAGCCGCGGUAAUACGGAGGGUGCAAGCGUUAUCCGGAAUUACUGGGUUUAAAGGGUGCGUAGGCGGUGAUAUAAGUCAGUGGUGAAAGGCCGUAGCUUAACUAUGGGAUUGCCAUUGAUACUGUAUGACUUGAAUCAGGAUGAGGUUGGCGGAAUGUGGCAUGUAGCGGUGAAAUGCUUAGAUAUGCCAUAGAACACCGAUUGCGAAGGCAGCUGACUGGACCUUGAUUGACGCUGAGGCACGAAAGCGUGGGGAGCAAACAGGAUUAGAUACCCAUGUAGUCCCUGAGCGG